Molecule: RNA transcript, 2015 nt
Organism: Oreochromis aureus
Lineage: Eukaryota; Metazoa; Chordata; Actinopteri; Cichliformes; Cichlidae
Gene name: sulfotransferase 2B1-like
Exons: 7
Source: RefSeq, a predicted model, not a curated record
CAGAAGCGAGCGCGAGACCACAGGAGAGAGAAGCGGGAGUGGCGCUACAGCCUCGAGCUACAAAAACAGUGAUAGUGCGUUAAGUUGAGACAAAGUCCAACAGUUUUUCAGCUCGAAGCUCUCAGAGCUGUUUUCAUUGAGCUGCUUCUACUUGUUGAAGCAUGACUGAGACAGAGUUAUACACGCUGUACAAAGGCGUCUAUGUGCCUUCAAGUCUCCAUCCGCCCGAGAGCCUCAGGUACUACGAGGAGUUUACGUUUCGUCCGGAUGACAUCCUUAUUGUAACGUACCCCAAGUCUGGUACGACAUGGAUGCAGGAGAUUCUCCCUCUGAUCAUCAGCGGAGGGGAUCCGGCCUCCGUUGAGACUCUUCACAACUGGGACCGUGUUCCAUGGCUGGAGGAGAAUCGAGCCCUCACCCUCAACCUUGAAAAGAGGCCGUCUCCACGCAUGUUUACAACUCACUUCCACUACAGCAUGAUGCCGCCAUCCUUCUUUGAAGUUAAACCAAAGGUCAUCUAUAUCAUGAGGAACCCCAAAGAUGUGUUUACGUCUGCUUUUCACUAUUUUGGGUCAACUUCGUUCCUGGUGAAACCAGGCCCACAGAGCGAGUUCCUCCAGAAGUUCCUAGAUGGAGAAGUUAUAUUUGGUUCCUGGUUUGACCAUGUAAAGGGUUGGCUCAAUGCUAAAGAUAAGGGGUCCAUCAUGUACAUCUCCUAUGAAGAACUUUUAAAGAACCUGAAGGACUCUGUGACCAGAGUCGCUCAGUUCAUGGAGAAAUCUCUGGAUACUGAAGUGAUAGAGAAGAUAGCAGAACGAUGCUUGUUCAAGAACAUGAAGAAAAACAGCAUGUCAAACUACUCGGCUGUUCCUAAAGAAUUCAUGGACCAGAGCAAGUCUGAAUUCCUCAGGAAAGCCUCGGCUGGCAUGUCUAAGCAGGACUUUGGGAGGAGGUGAAUGUGGAUGCAGGUUUUAAAAUGAAAGUAUGCAGGCAGGAAAAGGACCUUGGAUUAUUGGAAUUGCUGGAGACUGGAAGAAUCAGCUAACAGAGGCAGAAGCAGAAUACUUUGAUGCUGUUUACAAAGACAAAAUGAAAGAUGUCAAAUAUAAAUUUGUUUGGGAUUAAAAGACUAAAUGAAAGUCAUUUCAUCAUAAAAUUAGAGAAACAAAGUAGAGCAUUAAAUGGUUUUUUGAUAUAUAUUCAUGAGGUAAUUUUGUAGUUAUCAACAUAAAACUGGUAACAGCAUUCUGAUUGGUGCAAAACCAAAAUCCCUUUAAAUACUCAACUAUGAACAAGUCCUGGCAGCUUUCAGCUCGGUUUAAGUGAAACCCUGGUGGAGUGAGGGGGUUGUCGGGGUCAGCACACUUCAGCGAUGAUGUUGAAAGAGACCGCGAAAUAAUUUGGUACUACGCUAGAGAACUGUGACACUUAUAAUAUCCAAUGCCAGUGAAUGAGAGUGACGAUAGGACCAGUAAAAUGUAACAUGUAUUUAUUUAGUCUAUGCUUUUUUGUUUUCUGCUUCCAAACUUUCAAAUGUUGUACUUUUUACUCUAUAACAUUUAUAUUAACUCUUAAGUUACUUAUUCUACAGAUUUUAAAGCAUAAAAUGUAAUAAAAAGCUAUAUUGUUACAGAUAAAGCUACCCCCUGAUGCACAAGUAAUUGAAAGCAUGUGAUAUAAACAUUCAAAAAUUAUGAUCUAGUAAUAUAGAGCAUAUAUUCUGCAUAAUUAAAGUAUAUUGUAAUGCUCAAACAUUUGUUCCAUUACUUAAGUAGAUUUAUGCCUUUAUUCAAUAUGAAACAAUUUUUACAUUUGGGUGCAAUGCCACUUUACAUAUAAUACUUUUGCAUCCGCACAUAGGUCUGCACAUAUAUGCAAGGUUUACUCUGCUGUAUGUUUUUCUCGUCAAAUCCUCAGAAGUGUCACAAGGAGUUAUACUACCCUCUGUAGCUCAGAUCGUACAUCUUAUUGUCUGUUAAAGUGGUCACUGUGCCAGAUUAAAGCCCUAAAAUCUU